GAAGAGAGAGAAGAGAGAGAAAUUGAUCUUU
RNAcentral lists this small RNA (31 nucleotides) under Arabidopsis thaliana (thale cress). RNAcentral's name for it is "ATSL293430". Lineage: Eukaryota; Viridiplantae; Streptophyta; Magnoliopsida; Brassicales; Brassicaceae. The record is from RNAcentral.